GAAUAACGCUGGCGGUAUGCCUUAUACAUGCAAGUUGAGCGGAAAGGUCUCUUCGGAGAUACUCGAGCAGCGGACGGGUGAGUAAUGUGUAGGAAUCUGCCCCAAAGUUAGGGAUAACUAGGAGAAAUCCUAGCUAAUACCUAAUAUGCCGUAAGGUGAAAGUUUUUCGCUUUGGGAGGAGCCUGCAUCUGAUUAGUUUGUUGGUGAGGUAAUGGCUUACCAAGACUACGAUCAGUAGCUGGUCUGAGAAGAUGAUCAGCCACAAUGGGACUGAGAUACGGCCCAUACUC
This 290-nucleotide ribosomal RNA is filed under the name bacterium. RNAcentral describes it as "partial 16S rRNA". It matches the Rfam family "Bacterial small subunit ribosomal RNA", at positions 32 to 338 of the family's 1533-position model. The record is from RNAcentral.